AACGAACGCUGGCGGCAUGCCUAACACAUGCAAGUCGAACGAGACCUUCGGGUCUAGUGGCGCACGGGUGCGUAACGCGUGGGAACCUGCCCUUAGGUUCGGAAUAACUCCCCGAAAGGGGUGCUAAUACCGGAUAAUGUCUUCGGACCAAAGAUUUAUCGCCGUUGGAUGGGCCCGCGUUGGAUUAGCUAGUUGGUAGGGUAAAAGCCUACCAAGGCGACGAUCCAUAGCUGGUCUGAGAGGAUGAUCAGCCACACUGGGACUGAGACACGGCCCAGACCCCUACGGGAGGCAGCAGUGGGGACUAUUGGACAAUGGGCGAAAGCCUGAUCCAGCAAUGCCGCGUGAGUGAUGAAGGCCUUAGGGUUGUAAAGCUCUUUUACACGGGAUGAUAAUGACAGUACCGGGAGAAUAAGCUCCGGCUAACUCCGUG
Molecule: ribosomal RNA, 433 nt
Filed under: uncultured bacterium
Lineage: Bacteria
Description: partial 16S ribosomal RNA
Rfam family: Bacterial small subunit ribosomal RNA
Source: RNAcentral